AGAACGAACGCUGGCGGCAUGCCUAACACAUGCAAGUCGAACGAGACCUUCGGGUCUAGUGGCGCACGGGUGCGUAACGCGUGGGAACCUGCCUUUAGGUUCGGAAUAACUUCCCGAAAGGGAUGCUAAUACCGGAUAAUGUCUUCGGACCAAAGAUUUAUCGCCUUUAGAUGGGCCCGCGUAGGAUUAGCUAGUUGGUGGGGUAAAGGCCUACCAAGGCGACGAUCCUUAGCUGGUCUGAGAGGAUGAUCAGCCACACUGGGACUGAGACACGGCCCAGACUCCUACGGGAGGCAGCAGUGGGGAAUAUUGGACAAUGGGCGAAAGCCUGAUCCAGCAAUGCCGCGUGAGUGAUGAAGGCCUUAGGGUUGUAAAGCUCUUUACCAGGAUGAUAAUGACAGUACCUGGAGAAUAAGCUCCGGCUAACUCCGUGCCAGCAGCCGC
Molecule: ribosomal RNA, 444 nt
Filed under: uncultured soil bacterium
Lineage: Bacteria
Description: bacterial SSU rRNA
Rfam family: Bacterial small subunit ribosomal RNA
Source: RNAcentral